Molecule: microRNA precursor, 147 nt
Filed under: Podarcis lilfordi (Lilford's wall lizard)
Lineage: Eukaryota; Metazoa; Chordata; Lepidosauria; Squamata; Lacertidae
Source: RNAcentral
AUUUAGCGAGCUGAGUGGGGAGGAGAGAGGGACGGAGAGCCUGCUUGCUUUAAAGGAGCCAACCGGACUCCUCUCCUCUCCUGCUUUGCUCCUUUAAAGCAAGCAGGCUCUCUGUCCCUCUCUCCUCCCCACUCAGCGGCUCUUCUC